Molecule: transfer RNA, 76 nt
Filed under: Bacteroidota bacterium
Lineage: Bacteria; Pseudomonadati; Bacteroidota
Description: Bacteroidetes bacterium tRNA-His
Rfam family: tRNA
About the family: Transfer RNA (tRNA) molecules are approximately 80 nucleotides in length.
Source: RNAcentral
GAGGGUGUAGCUCAGUUGGUUAGAGCGUCAGAUUGUGGCUCUGAAGGCCGUGGGUUCGAGUCCCAUCAUCCUCCCA